This 455-nucleotide ribosomal RNA is filed under the name Macrobrachium superbum. RNAcentral describes it as "partial 16S ribosomal RNA". The stretch from base 68 to 455 matches the Rfam family "Bacterial large subunit ribosomal RNA", at positions 2048 to 2645 of the family's 2925-position model. The record is from RNAcentral. Lineage: Eukaryota; Metazoa; Arthropoda; Malacostraca; Decapoda; Palaemonidae.
AGGUCGAAGCUAGAAUGGGGGCUGGAAAAGGGAUGAGCUGUCUCCUUUACGUAAUUUGAAUUUAACUUUUGAGUGAAAAGGCUCAAAUUAUUUAGUGGGACGAUAAGACCCUAUAAAACUUUAUAUAAGUUUAAUUUGGCUUACAAUUUGAGUGAAAAGUAGCUUUAUUAGGCUUAUAUUUCGUUGGGGAGAUGUAGAUAUAAUGUGUAACUGUCUGUUUAAUUUAAUAAUUAUAAUUAGUGUGUGAUCCUUCUUUGUGGAUUAAAAGUAUAAGUUACUUUAGGGAUAACAGCGUGAUUUUCUUUGAGAGUUCUUAUCGACAAGAGUAGUUGCGACCUCGAUGUUGAAUUAAAAUUUCAGUUAGGUGUAGCCGUCUAGCUGGUAGGUCUGUUCGACCUUUAAAAUUUUACAUGAUUUGAGUUCAAACCGGUGUGAGCCAGGUUGGUUCUAUCUAA